This 864-nucleotide ribosomal RNA is filed under the name Catenula sp. MKL-1999a. RNAcentral describes it as "eukaryotic LSU rRNA". It matches the Rfam family "Eukaryotic large subunit ribosomal RNA", at positions 651 to 1465 of the family's 3401-position model. Lineage: Eukaryota; Metazoa; Platyhelminthes; Catenulidae. The record is from RNAcentral.
GACUCUUGAAACACGGACCAAGGAGUUCAGCAUKCAGGCGAGUCUGAGGGUUGAGCAAAACCCGAAGGCGAAGUGAAAGCAAAGGGGCUCCUCGUGGGCCUUCUAGAUGUGAUCCCGGGCAGGUGAGAGCCUCCUGGGCGCAACAUCGUCUCGUCGUGAUUCUGUGCGAAUACGGCGACGAUUGAGCCUGCACGCUGAGACCCGAAAGAUGGUGAACUAUGCCAGAGGAGGGCGAAGCCAGAGGAAACUCUGGUGGAGGCCCGAAGCGAUUCUAACGUGCAAAUUGAUCGUCAGACUUUGGUAUAGGGGCGAAAGACUAAUCGAACCAUCUAGUAGCUGGUUCCCUCCGAAGUUUCCCKCWGGAUAGCUGGCGCUCGUUCGGAGGCAGUAGUACCCGGUAAAGCGAAUGAUUAGAGUGUUCUGGAUCGAAACGAUCUAAACCUAUUCUCAAACUCUAAAUGGGUACGAAGGUUGGCUCGCUUGUGUGGAGUCGACACCUCGAAUGCGUGUAGUGCCAAGUGGGCCACUUUUGGUAAGCAGAACUGGCGCUGUGGGAUGAACCAAACGUUCGGUUAAGGUGCCCAACAUGACGCUCAUUGGAAACCACAAAAGGUGUUGGUUGAUAAAGACAGCAGGACGGUGGUCAUGGAAGUCGAAAUCCGCUAAGGAGUGUGURACAAMUCACAUGCCGAAUCAACCAGCCCUGAAAAUGGAUAGCGCUCGAGCGUUGGACAUAUACCGGACCGUCACAGGAGUAUUARAAAGUAGCCYGUGGCGAGUAGGAGGGCGCYGUGGUGAACGUMGAAGCCCAGGCCGCAAGGCCGGGUGGAGUCGCCACGGGUACAGAUCUUGGUGGUAGUAGCU